RNAcentral lists this non-coding RNA (180 nucleotides) under Halioglobus sp. RNAcentral's name for it is "6S RNA". It matches the Rfam family "6S / SsrS RNA". Rfam says of the family: E. coli 6S RNA was the first non coding RNA to be sequenced, but its function was unknown until recently. It consists of 184 nucleotides that fold into an extended hairpin structure with a large single-stranded internal bulge. Lineage: Bacteria; Pseudomonadati; Pseudomonadota; Gammaproteobacteria; Cellvibrionales; Halieaceae. The record is from RNAcentral.
GGAUCCCUGGCGUAUGCGCCAGACAGACAGUCCUCGAGCCGAUAAAUGUGUAACCGGAGGUUGCCAGCGGCUGUUGUGUGCAUGUCCGGCCCCGACCGGAAAGCCUGAUGCAGUGCGGGAACCGCCACCUUGAACCAUCGGGUUCAAGGGCAGUGCUGUCAGCGGUAUGCCGGGAAUCCC